This 400-nucleotide ribosomal RNA is filed under the name uncultured bacterium. Its description in RNAcentral is "bacterial SSU rRNA". It matches the Rfam family "Bacterial small subunit ribosomal RNA", at positions 356 to 773 of the family's 1533-position model. The record is from RNAcentral.
GGGGAAUAUUGGACAAUGGGCGAAAGCCUGAUCCAGCCAUGCCGCGUGAGUGAUGAAGGCCCUAGGGUUGUAAAGCUCUUUUGUCCGGGAAGAUAAUGACUGUACCGGAAGAAUAAGCCCCGGCUAACUUCGUGCCAGCAGCCGCGGUAAUACGAAGGGGGCUAGCGUUGCUCGGAAUUACUGGGCGUAAAGGGUGCGUAGGUGGAUUCUUAAGUCAGGGGUGAAAUCCCGGGGCUCAACCCCGGAAUAGCCUUUGAUACUGAGGGUCUUGAGUUCGGGAGAGGUGAGUGGAACUGCGAGUGUAGAGGUGAAAUUCGUAGAUAUUCGCAAGAACACCAGUGGCGAAGGCGGCUCACUGGCCCGAUACUGACACUGAGGCACGAAAGCGUGGGGAGCAAAC